Molecule: ribosomal RNA, 253 nt
Filed under: uncultured bacterium
Lineage: Bacteria
Description: partial 16S ribosomal RNA
Rfam family: Bacterial small subunit ribosomal RNA
Source: RNAcentral
UACAGAGGUCUCAAGCGUUGUUCGGAUUCAUUGGGCGUAAAGGGUGCGUAGGUGGCGCUGUAAGUCGGGUGUGAAAUUUCGGAGCUUAACUCCGAAACUGCAUUCGAUACUGCGGUGCUUGAGGACUGGAGAGGAGACUGGAAUUCAUGGUGUAGCAGUGAAAUGCGUAGAGAUCAUGAGGAACACCUGCGGCGAAGGCGGGUUGCUGGGCUGACACUGACGCUGAGGCGCGAAAGCCAGGGGAGCGAACGGG